Long non-coding RNA from Gallus gallus (chicken), 534 nucleotides. The record is from Ensembl. NCBI's taxonomy places the organism in Eukaryota, Metazoa, Chordata, Aves, Galliformes, Phasianidae.
GAGAUUGCCUUCUGUGGGGUGUUUGGUGAGUUCUAAUCUUCAGAAAGGGACUAAUGGAAGUAAUAGAUGAAGUGGAAAAGGACUAAAGGUCCCCUUGAGUUUUCUUUCUUCCUGACUUGCUCCUCCCCAGACUCAGUGAAAGCCAAUAAAGAAGAACUGAGACUCAUCCCUGAUAAAGACAAGCUAAGAAAUCUGCUUCCUGCAUUUAAAAUCAAUUUUUUAUCUAGCCACUGUCUUAUAUUUCUUUCAAGAAGGGAGCUAUCUACUACCAGAAGAGGCAAGGCUGAAAGCAAGUGGCAAUUUACAUCAAGGUCUCCGUAUAGGGGACAAGCUACCAAUAUGGCCUUCAGAGUCAAUCCAGAGAUUAAGAGACCAGCCUCCACCUCACUACAUUCUCCCUUCGUGUCAUUGUACAGAACACUGAGGUCUCCUUUCAGCCUCUUAGUCUCCAGGCUAACCAACCUCAAUUCCCUCAGCUUCUCCCCAUGUAUCUUGUUCAGUAGUCCCUUCACCAGCUUUGUUGCUUGUCUCGGU